RNA transcript from Oryza brachyantha (malo sina), 2000 nucleotides. RefSeq lists it as uncharacterized. The transcript has 9 exons. Lineage: Eukaryota; Viridiplantae; Streptophyta; Magnoliopsida; Poales; Poaceae. The record is from RefSeq and is a predicted model, not a curated record.
AUUUGCAUUCUAUCUCAUCAGCAAUGGCCACCAUGCCGCUAACCUCCUCCCCGCCUCGCCUCCUCCACCGCCACUCCCAAGCCAGGCCCCAGCCCCGCUCCGCCACGCGCGUUCCCAUCCUCCCUCGACGGGCAGCGGCCGCGGCGCGGCGGCUGUACUGCGCCCCCGGCGCCGGCGGCGGCGGCGGCGAAGUCUCGGCCCCUCCACCUCCAGCCCCUGCCGCCGAGCAGCAGGAGCAAGCGCCGAAGGAGGAGGAGGAGUACACGCUCCUCGCCGUCACCGGCAGCGACUUCAACGAGGUCAUCAUGAUCAUCGAUUCGCCCGCCACCCGCUACCUCCUCCUCGACACCAACCGGAAUGUUCACAGCGUCCUCCCCAAGACCGGCGUCUGGACCAACUCGUAUUGGGAUGAGUUCGUGAGCCUACCAGCUGUUGUUCCACGUGGUCCUGUUGCUCUUCUAGGUUUGGGUGCUGGGACUGCAGCACAUCUGAUGCUAAAGUUUUAUCCUUGGUUGCAACUUGUCGGAUGGGAGAUUGAUCCUAAGAUAAUUGAACUGUCAAGGGAUUAUUUUGGUAUGUCUGAUUUAGAAAAGGCAACAGAAUUAGGUGGUUCACUUUCUGUGCGCAUUGGUGAUGCACUUUCUCCAUCAGCUACAAUUGAAGGAGGAUUUGCUGGUAUUGUUGUAGAUUUGUUUGCUGAUGGGAAGAUCAUACCUCAGCUGCAAGAAGUUGAAACUUGGUUGCAAAUCUCGAAAAAGCUAAUGCCAGAUGGCCGGAUCAUUGUUAACUGUGGUGGAGCUGAUGCUGCUGUAUCUCUUGCUGACGAUACAGGCCGUUCGUCCUGGGUUCAGAAUCCCACAAUUAAGGCACUCUGUACUGCAUUUCCUGGGCAGCUAAACUGGAAGCGACUAUCAGAGAAAGAGAGUGUAAAUUACGUUGCAUUGACGGGUCCUCUUCCAGACUUGGAUGAGUGGUCUACCUCAGUUCCUAGUGAGUUGAGCACAAAAGUGAAACAGUGGGUACCUUGCGAACUUGCGUGAGGCUGAGAAUCAACAGGUUUCUCUAGAUAUACCCUAUUUGCUUCAACAACUUGUUUGCCCCCUCUGUUCAUGGCUCCUUUUCUGGCAUACUCUUCUCAUGCAGCUCUCAGAUGUUCAAGGAAUAGAAGUGCAAGGUAAUCGAGCCACACUCAAAUUUUGUUUCUUAAGCAGCAUAGCGAAGACAAGCAUCAGUUGAAUUCAGUGAAUGUGUGAAUCUUGGAAGGAUGUCAUGACAAAUCUGCCACAAAAAGUUCAGAGCGUACUUUGCAUAACAUUUUUGUCAUCUCUGACUGUUCAUAUUCGUACAUUUUUGUUUUGAGGGAAAAUCCAUGUCAGCUUCGCAAAGUGACAACUUGAUUUGUCUGAACAGCUGUCCAGUAGCUUUCACUGACAAAUACUGUUCGUUAGUAGCAUUCACUGAUAGAUACAUUGCACUUCCCUCCUGAUGAGGUCUCUGAAGAAAGCAACCCUGCCGUACUGUUUGUGUGAUUGAGCAGAGAAUCGGUGCCCAGUAACAUGUCUGUUAAAUGUUCAGGAUACAGCAAAAAAAAAAAAGGUUCAGGAUACAAGGGUAUGCACCGUGAUAAAUGAUGAUGCAUUGAUGCUCGAUGACAUCGUCCUGUUGAGUUAAGUUUUGGAGUGAAUUGAUGUAGUUCAGUACAUCCUUUAACUCUUCAGUUGAGAUCAGUCCGGCACCCCUACAAUCUUUGGUCCGAUGUAAGGUCGAUAUCAUCUUACCUAGAGCCCUAGGCUUCUUAUCAGUAAGGCUCAGUUGUCAUGUUUAACACAAAGGCAACGGGUAGCUGUCGAUCCUUGGCAACUAAAUGAUGUGAAAUCUUCUCUUGCUUGGAUUGAAGAAAUGCAGAGUGCUCUACUUGCUGCUGAAAAACUCAAUGAUUAAGCAUGAAGAGAUCAACUUCUCCAUACACCCUCAUUUUGGUGCAUUUGCCUGCUGAUCUU